RNAcentral lists this ribosomal RNA (483 nucleotides) under uncultured bacterium. RNAcentral's name for it is "bacterial SSU rRNA". It matches the Rfam family "Bacterial small subunit ribosomal RNA", at positions 9 to 521 of the family's 1533-position model. The record is from RNAcentral.
GAGUUUGAUCAUGGCUCAGAAUCAACGCUGGCGGCGUGCCUAACACAUGCAAGUCGAACGAGAAAGUGGAGCAAUCCAUGAGUAAAGUGGGCGACCGGGUGAGUAACACGUGGCUAACCUACCCUCGAGUGGGGAAUAACGCCGGGAAACCGGCGCUAAUACCGCAUAACAUCGCGAGAUCAAAGCAGCAAUGCGCUUGAGGAGGGGGUCGCGGCCGAUUAGUUAGUUGGUAGGGUAAUGGCCUACCAAGACGAAGAUCGGUAGCCGGCCUGAGAGGGCGCACGGCCACACUGGAACUGAAACACGGUCCAGACUCCUACGGGAGGCAGCAGUGGGGAAUUUUGCGCAAUGGGGGAAACCCCUGACGCAGCAACGCCGCGUGGAGGAUGAAGUCCCUUGGGACGUAAACUCCUUUCGACCGGGACGAUAAAUGACGGUACCGGUGGAAGAAGCCCCGGCUAACUUCGUGCCAGCCGCCGCAGU